UACGUAGGGUGCGAGCGUUGUCCGGAAUUAUUGGGCGUAAAGGGCUCGUAGGCGGUUUGUCGCGUCGGGAGUGAAAACUCAGGGCUUAACCCUGAGCCUGCUUCCGAUACGGGCAGACUAGAGGUAUGCAGGGGAGAACGGAAUUCCUGGUGUAGCGGUGAAAUGCGCAGAUAUGAGGAGGAACACCGGUGGCGAAGGCAGUGUCCUGGAGGGUUAACUGACGCUGAGGCGCGAAAGCUAGGGGAGCGAACAGG
This 254-nucleotide ribosomal RNA is filed under the name uncultured bacterium. RNAcentral describes it as "partial 16S ribosomal RNA". It matches the Rfam family "Bacterial small subunit ribosomal RNA", at positions 524 to 776 of the family's 1533-position model. The record is from RNAcentral.